Molecule: ribosomal RNA, 252 nt
Filed under: uncultured bacterium
Lineage: Bacteria
Description: partial 16S ribosomal RNA
Rfam family: Bacterial small subunit ribosomal RNA
Source: RNAcentral
UACGUAGGGGGCAAGCGUUGUCCGGAAUCAUUGGGCGUAAAGCGCGUGUAGGCGGCUUGUAAGUCUGCUCUGAAAGCCCGGGGCUCAACCCCGGGAGGCGGGUGGAUACUGCCGAGCUCGAGUCCGGAAGAGGCGAGUGGAAUUCCUGGUGUAGCGGUGAAAUGCGCAGAUAUUGGGAGGAACACCAGUGGCGAAGGCGGCUACCUGGACCGGUUCUGACGCUGAGGCGCGAAAGCGUGGGUAGCAAACAGG